This 31-nucleotide ribosomal RNA is filed under the name Chaetomium elatum. RNAcentral's name for it is "partial 18S ribosomal RNA". The record is from RNAcentral. RNAcentral also lists the same sequence under 3 other names. Lineage: Eukaryota; Fungi; Ascomycota; Sordariomycetes; Sordariales; Chaetomiaceae.
UCUCCGUUGGUGAACCAGCGGAGGGACAUUA